RNAcentral lists this ribosomal RNA (1223 nucleotides) under uncultured bacterium. Its description in RNAcentral is "bacterial SSU rRNA". It matches the Rfam family "Bacterial small subunit ribosomal RNA", at positions 282 to 1499 of the family's 1533-position model. The record is from RNAcentral.
UGUAGCUGGUCUGAGAGGAUGAUCAGCCACACCGGGACUGAGACACGGCCCGGACUCCUACGGGAGGCAGCAGUGGGGAAUAUUGGACAAUGGGGGCAACCCUGACCCAGCCAUGCCGCGUGUGUGAAGAAGGCCUUUUGGUUGUAAAGCACUUUAAGCAGUGAAGAAGACCUAACGGUUAAUACCCGUUAGCGAUGACAUUAGCUGCAGAAUAAGCACCGGCUAACUCUGUGCCAGCAGCCGCGGUAAUACAGAGGGUGCAAGCGUUAAUCGGAAUUACUGGGCGUAAAGCGAGCGUAGGUGGCUUGAUAAGUCAGAUGUGAAAUCCCCGGGCUUAACCUGGGAACUGCAUCUGAUACUGUUGGGCUAGAGUAGGUGAGAGGGAGGUAGAAUUUCAGGUGUAGCGGUGAAAUGCGUAGAGAUCUGAAGGAAUACCGAUGGCGAAGGCAGCCUCCUGGCAUCAUACUGACACUGAGGUUCGAAAGCGUGGGUAGCAAACAGGAUUAGAUACCCUGGUAGUCCACGCCGUAAACGAUGUCUACUAGUCGUUGGGGAACUUGAUUCCUUAGUGACGCAGCUAACGCAAUAAGUAGACCGCCUGGGGAGUACGGCCGCAAGGUUAAAACUCAAAUGAAUUGACGGGGGCCCGCACAAGCGGUGGAGCAUGUGGUUUAAUUCGAUGCAACGCGAAGAACCUUACCUGGUCUUGACAUAUCUAGAAUCCUGCAGAGAUGCGGGAGUGCCUUCGGGAAUUAGAAUACAGGUGCUGCAUGGCUGUCGUCAGCUCGUGUCGUGAGAUGUUGGGUUAAGUCCCGCAACGAGCGCAACCCUUUUCCUUAGUUACCAGCGGUUUGGCCGGGGACUCUAAGGAUACUGCCAGUGACAAACUGGAGGAAGGCGGGGACGACGUCAAGUCAUCAUGGCCCUUACGACCAGGGCUACACACGUGCUACAAUGGUAGGUACAGAGGGCAGCUACACAGCGAUGUGAUGCGAAUCUCAAAAAGCCUAUCGUAGUCCAGAUUGGAGUCUGCAACUCGACUCCAUGAAGUAGGAAUCGCUAGUAAUCGCGGAUCAGAAUGCCGCGGUGAAUACGUUCCCGGGCCUUGUACACACCGCCCGUCACACCAUGGGAGUUGAUUGCACCAGAAGUGGGUAGCCUAACUUUUAGAGGGCGCUCACCACGGUGUGGUUGAUGACUGGGGUGAAGUCGUAACAAGGUAA